Molecule: ribosomal RNA, 293 nt
Filed under: uncultured bacterium
Lineage: Bacteria
Description: partial 16S ribosomal RNA
Rfam family: Archaeal small subunit ribosomal RNA
Source: RNAcentral
GUGCCAGCCGCCGCGGUAAUACCGGCAGCUCAAGUGAUGGCCACUCUUAUUGGGCCUAAAGCGUCCGUAGCUGGCCGCGCAAGUCCGUCGGGAAAUCCAUCAGCCCAACUGAUGGGCGUCCGGCGGAAACUGCACGGCUUGGGACCGGAAGGCUCGAGAGGUACGUCCGGGGUAGGAGUGAAAUCCUAUAAUCCUGGACGGACCACCAAUGGGGAAACCACGUCGAGAGACCGGACCCGACAGUGAGGGACGAAAGCCAGGGUCUCGAACCGGAUUAGAUACCCUAGUAGUCC